This 482-nucleotide ribosomal RNA is filed under the name uncultured bacterium. RNAcentral describes it as "partial 16S ribosomal RNA". It matches the Rfam family "Bacterial small subunit ribosomal RNA", at positions 30 to 507 of the family's 1533-position model. The record is from RNAcentral.
AUUGAACGCUGGCGGCAUGCCUUACACAUGCAAGUCGAACGGUAACGGGCCUUCGGGUGCCGACGAGUGGCGAACGGGUGAGUAAUACAUCGGAACGUGCCCGAUCGUGGGGGAUAACGAGGCGAAAGCUUUGCUAAUACCGCAUACGAUCUACGGAUGAAAGCAGGGGACCGCAAGGCCUUGCGCGGACGGAGCGGCCGAUGGCAGAUUAGGUAGUUGGUGGGGUAAAAGCUUACCAAGCCGACGAUCUGUAGCUGGUCUGAGAGGAUGAUCAGCCACACUGGGACUGAGACACGGCCCAGACUCCUACGGGAGGCAGCGGUGGGGAAUUUGGGACAAUGGGCGCAAGCCUGAUCCAGCCAUGCCGCGUGCAGGAUGAAGGCCUUCGGGUUGUAAACUGCUUUUGUACGGAACGAAAAGCCUUCUUUUAAUACAGGAGGGUCAUGACGGUACCGUAAGAAUAAGCACCGGCUAACUACGUG